UACGUAGGGUGCGAGCGUUAAUCGGAAUUACUGGGCGUAGAGCGUGCGCAGGCGGUUCGUUAAGUUCGUUGUGAAAGCCCCGGGCUCAACCUGGGAACUGCAAUGGAAACUGGCGGGCUUGAGUGUGGCAGAGGGGGGUGGAAUUCCGCGUGUAGCAGUGAAAUGCGUAGAGAUGCGGAGGAACACCGAUGGCGAAGGCAGCCCCCUGGGCCAACACUGACGCUCAGGCACGAAAGCGUGGGGAGCAAACAGG
RNAcentral lists this ribosomal RNA (253 nucleotides) under uncultured bacterium. Its description in RNAcentral is "partial 16S ribosomal RNA". It matches the Rfam family "Bacterial small subunit ribosomal RNA", at positions 524 to 776 of the family's 1533-position model. The record is from RNAcentral.